Molecule: long non-coding RNA, 2189 nt
Filed under: Zea mays
Lineage: Eukaryota; Viridiplantae; Streptophyta; Magnoliopsida; Poales; Poaceae
Description: long non-coding RNA (ZMAY_LNC005178)
Source: RNAcentral
AACAUACUAGACAUUAAUAUUCUGCUAGCAAUGGGAAGAUAACCAUAACGACAUAAACUGAAUUAACUAGUGUGCACGACUAGUUAAAAAAACAACAUCCUUGACAAGAAGUUUCUAAUUAAAUCAUCGAUGUGCCUGGGCAGCGUUAUUAUGAGAGUGAAGGUGGACGUGCUGCUACUUCCCUCAUUCCCAACAUGAAUCAAGUACCUGCAUUGAGUAAUGCAAGAGUGAGAUGAAAACAUCUCAGCAAGUAAAUUGUUUUGACGAGAUAUUUAAACCAAAAAAAUAUUGAAUUAAUCAUCAUUUUAAAGGGAUCACAAUUGAGAUCAGAAAUUUUUGUAGAUAUAGAACUCAAUAGUCCCAAAAUAACCAAUGCCAUCUCAUUUCCUUGAACAACCACAAUAGGUUGUAUAACACUUUCCUGCGUCAACAAUACCCGCAAAUAUCACUUUAAUGUAUGCAUAGGAAUGCAAUGUGUAAGUCCACUGCGUUCAUACCUCUUAGAGUAUAAAACCACACCAUCUGCAAAUAUCACUUCAAUGAAUGCAUAUGAAUGCAAUGCAUAUGUCCUCUGCCUUCAUACCUCUAAGGGUAUGAAGCUGCAUCGUACCCCUCCUCGGGCAACGUACGAUGCUAAGUUGUACCGGUACGGUCGGACCAUAGGUCACGACAAAACUUCAGAUGCAAGUGAAUCAUGCAAUGUAUAUGGCAUGCUGCAUUUAUCAAUAUACUUCACUUCCUUCAUAUACAAUACAAACCUCAAACAAUACUUUGUUUACCUUCACAUACAAUACAAACCUCAAAUAAUACUUCGUUUACCUUCAGAUACAAUACAAACCUCAAAUAAUACUUCAUUCACCUUCAGGGGUGUGAAUUAAUCUCGUGGGUCAUACUCGAAUCAUCAUCAUCAUCAAUAUAUGAUUAAGCAUCAAUAUAAUACAAUCAAGUAAAGCAUCACCAUAGAGUUCAAUUAUGAAAGAAUUCGAUGAUUCUGAAUAUUAGAGUGUAGGCGAUGAAACAACAAGUCAAAACGGUAGCAACCACCGCUACAUCCACUUGCCUUCAUCGAAGAACAAAAAAUGUACUAGGCAUGAUCCGGAGUGUAGACACCUGCUGCGAGACAUAAAACUUAGUACAAAUAUUUCACAAACAUUUGCCAACAAUCAACAAAUCGCUCCUAUACUUGAAACCAAGACCCGGUGGAAUGACUCCCACCCUGAACCACAUGCCAAACAACAGCAGCGCUGUUUGUUAAUUUUGUAUCUUUAAAAUUAUAACAGUAGUGAUAUCAAACAAAUACUCUAGGAGUUUCUACACAAAAUACUCUACAACUUCGGUAUUCAAUGGAUAAUUAAAUUUUGCCAUCUAUAAGUUCUAAAACAUCUGACAAGAUAACUGACUGAAUCUGUUUCAGACAGCAGCAUAGUUAACUUUAUAAUUCUAUAUCUCCCAAACUACUCAACCACAAAUUAUGAAAUUCUGCUGGCAGUAAGAACUUUUAUCCCGCUACAAAAGUCUCCAUAGUUGGAAGAGCCAAUUCGGCCAUUUACUAGAUGAAACCUACCAGUGAACAGACCCGCUCAUUUUUGUUAGGCAAACAGGAACAGCCACAGUAAAACAAACAUAACUGGAGUUUCAAAAUUCAUAUGAAUGCCCUCUUUAACAAUCUGGAAAGCUUAUGAAAUUAUCUACAACUUCUUUUACCAACCUAAAGUUUAAUUCUGUUGAUAAAAUUGUCUAAAUCUUAAGAGAACAGAUUCUGCACAGAAUUGUGAGACUGAAAAACUGCUAUAAUCAAACUGCAAUAACUUUCUGAUCUGAUGUCCGAUUGGGGUGUUCUUUGCGGCCACGGAAAGAUCUACAAAUUAUCUACGACUCAUAGAUAGACUUUUUAUUUUUUUGAGGCCACUAAGGGCACAGAAAACUGGUAUGAACAGAAACUAUCGAAUCUGCCAUUCUGCAGAAACUAAUUUCGAGAUCAAAAACUAACCACCCAUCUAAUCCAACCUCUAAUCCUUCAAUCCCCAUGAUUUACAACCUCCAAAAACACAUAAUUACAUGGAGGAACAUGGAUCUUAUCCUUACCUAGGAUUUCCCCAAGAAAAACUGCAAGAAAAGAUGGGGUAGAACAUCUCCUUGAUCCUCUCUUCCUCUUCAAUUCAACGUGCUCCUCCUAUUCUCGAUCCUUG